This 439-nucleotide ribosomal RNA is filed under the name uncultured bacterium. RNAcentral's name for it is "partial 16S ribosomal RNA". It matches the Rfam family "Bacterial small subunit ribosomal RNA", at positions 338 to 795 of the family's 1533-position model. The record is from RNAcentral.
CCUACGGGAGGCAGCAGUGGGGAAUAUUGCACAAUGGGCGAAAGCCUGAUGCAGCAACGCCGCGUGAGCGAUGAAGGCCUUCGGGUCGUAAAGCUCUGUCCUCAAGGAAGAUAAUGACGGUACUUGAGGAGGAAGCCCCGGCUAACUACGUGCCAGCAGCCGCGGUAAUACGUAGGGGGCUAGCGUUAUCCGGAAUUACUGGGCGAAAAGGGUGCGGAGGUGGUUUCUUAAGUCAGAGGUGAAAGGGUACGGCUCAACCGUAGUAAGCCUUUGAAACUGGGAAACUUGAGUGCAGGAAAGGAGAGUGGAAUUCCUAGGGUAGCGGGGAAAAGCGUUGAUAUUAGGAGGAACACCAGUUGCGAAGGCGGCUCUUUGGACUGUAACUGACACCGGGGGAAGAAAGCGUUGGGAGCAAACAGGAAUAGAUACCCCAGUAGUC